Non-coding RNA from Cervus elaphus (red deer), 73 nucleotides. Lineage: Eukaryota; Metazoa; Chordata; Mammalia; Artiodactyla; Cervidae. The record is from the annotation of a RefSeq genome assembly.
UUCCUGGUGGCUCAGAUGGUAGAGCGUCUGCCUACAAUGUGGGAGACCCAGGUUCAAUCCCUGGGCCGGGAAG